Molecule: transfer RNA, 86 nt
Filed under: Coriobacteriaceae bacterium
Lineage: Bacteria; Bacillati; Actinomycetota; Coriobacteriia; Coriobacteriales; Coriobacteriaceae
Also listed under: 6 other names
Description: tRNA-Leu
Rfam family: tRNA
About the family: Transfer RNA (tRNA) molecules are approximately 80 nucleotides in length.
Source: RNAcentral
GCCCGAGUGGUGGAAUGGCAGACACGGGGGUCUCAAAAACCCCUGGGGGCAACCCCGUGUGAGUUCGAGUCUCACCUCGGGCACCA